AGCAGAAGCAGCAUCCAGCCCUUCUCGCAGCAUCAGCAGCAGAUUGCAAAGAACAAUCCUGCCUUUCGAAAUGUCACAUCCAAUCUGAUCUCAAAGGAUUUUUUUUUCUGCACGACCGUCAUCCAGCGCGAAACACACGCAGAGUGAGAACCCGUUAUGUAGUGUUGUGAAUCAACUAAGUUGCUCCAAAGCUGUGUCUCACACUUCUUUCCUUUUACCUGGAGUUGUUCCGAUUCCGAAACCAUAUCGCACUUUUUAGCUUUAGGCCACAUCUUGAAAAUGGCAGAAAUGAUUGGAGGUCUGAAUUUGGUGUUACUUGGAAAAAUAGGAGCUGGGAAGAGUGCAUCAGGAAACACAAUCCUGGGACGAAAAGCUUUUGAAUCAAAGGAAAGUUUCACUUCAGUCACACAAGAUCUGGCUAUUGAAUCUGGGACUGUCUGUGGACGACGAGUCACUGUUUAUGACACACCAGGAUUAUUUAACACAAAGCUCAGUGAAGAAGAGGUUCAGCAGAUAUAUGCAAAUGUUCUUCAGAGAUGUGAAUCAGGUCCCUGUGUGUUUCUGCUGGUCAUCAAAGCUGACAGAUUCACUGAAAAAGAGAGAAAAACUGUGGAGAAGAUUGAGGAGCUGCUGGGAGAAAACCGCUUGAAGAAAACCUGGAUUCUCUUCACUGGAAGAGAUGAACUGGAGGAAGAAAACAUGUCAAUAGAUGAAUUUGUCAAUGAGACUGAACCAUUGAAGAGACUCGUUCAGAAAUAUGAUCACAGAUACCAUGUGUUCAACAACAAGAAGAAAGAACCUAAUGGACAAGUUCAAGAGUUGCUUUCAAAAAUAGAUGCAAUAGAAAAAGGAGCAAAACCGAAGAAGACUCUAGUGAAGGGAGGAAAACUAAAAUGCAUUCCUGUCUCCAGAUUAACUGAGCAGGAGCUGCCGAGGUGGAAGAUAUUUGCUGAAGAGAGGCUGACCAGAAUGCUUUGUGCUAGACAGACCCUUGAGACUGAUGAGCUAGAAGCCUCCAGACGGAUUGUUCUUCUGGGUAAAAGUGGAGUUGGGAAGAGUGCAUCUGGAAACACAAUACUGGGACAGAAUAAGUUUAACUCUGUGAGAAGUGCAAGUUCAGUAACCAGUGAAUGUUCAGUUUUUCAUGCCACAUUUUCAGGCAGAUCUGUGUCUGUAGUUGAUACUCCUGGAUUCAUUCACACACACAUGAAACAUGAAGAGUUAGUGAUGGAGAUAGGGAGAAGUGUUUAUUUAUCCAGUCCUGGACCUCAUGCUUUUCUCAUUGUGAUUAAUCUGAGUAUAAGAUUCACUGAACAUGAGCUGCAGAUUGCAGAACAGAUUGAAACACUGUUUGGUCAGGAGGUGUUAAAAUACUCAAUCAUUCUUUUCACUCAUGGAGAUCAGCUAGAUGGAGAGUCUGUAGAGAAAUUCAUUGAGGAGAACAGUGCAUUAGAAGAUCUAGUUGAUCAGUGUAGAGGCAGAUAUCACGUCUUCAACAAUAAAGAUCAGAAUAACAGAGAGCAGGUGAAUUAUCUACUGCAGAAGAUUGACACAAUGAUAGAGCGUAAUCACAGAGAGCAGGUAUUUGUUCUAUGGCAGAAGAUUGACACAAUGAAAGAUGAGAAUAACAGAGAGCAGGUGAAUGAUCUAUGGCAGAAGAUUGAUACAAUAGAGCAGAAUGGAGGAGGAACCUACAGUACUGAGAUGUUUGAAGAUGCUCAGAAAUUCAGACAAGAGGAAGAAGAGAGAAAACAACAGGAGGAGAAACAAAGACAAGAGAAGAUUGAGAGAGUGAGAAAAGAGACAGAGGAGAAAAUCAGAGCAGAAUUUAAAGGUCCACCAACAUUUUUACUAGAAAAACUUAAGUCAAUGAGACAGAGAGAGGAAGAUAGGAAACGACGCGAGGAGGAACAACAGGAGACGUUUGAGAGAUUCUUUUGCCACCUGGAUUCACCAAGGAGACAUAAGGCAAUGCUUAUGGAAAUGGAAAUGGAAACAUAUAUGGAAAUGCAGAGAAAACGACGAGAGGAGAAACAAAGACAAGAGGAGAUUGAGAGAGUGAUAAAGGAAACAGAGGAGAAAAUCAGAGCAGAGUUUGAAGGUCCACCAAGGUUUUUACUAGAAAGGUUUAAGUCAAUGAGACUGAGAGAGGAAGAGGAAGAGGAGAGAAAACAAAUGGAGAGACAAAGACAAGAGAAGAUUGGGAGAGUGAGAGCAGAGUUUGGAGGUCUACCAAUUUGUUUACGAAGAAUUAAGCCAUGGAGACGGAGAGAGGUAGCAGAGAAAACACAACGAGAGAAGAAACAAAGACGAGAUGAUAUUGUGAGAGUAAGAAAGGAGACAGAGGAGAAAAUCAGAGCAGAGUUUGAAGGUCCACCAAGAUUUUUACUAGAAAGACUUAAAGUAAUGAGACUGAGAGAUGAAGAAAGGAUACAAAAAGAGGUGGAACGACAGGAGGUGUUUGAGAGAGUCUUUGACCACCUGUGUUUACCAAAAAUGCGUGUGGAAAUGCAGAGAAAACAACAAGAGGAGAAACAAAGACAAGAGGAGAUUGAGAGAGUGAUAAAGGAGACAGAGGAGAGAAUCAGAGCAGAGUGUGAAGUCCCACCAAGAUGAUUAUGAGACACUUAAAUCAAUGAGUCAGAUCAAGAGAGAAAGCUACAAGAGGAAAAACAAAGACAGAAGAAAUUCACAGCAGCAUUUCAUGGACCAUCACUAUUUCUACUAGAGAAAGAGAAACAAGACUAUAUAAUGUGAACUAGAAGCAAGAUUGAGAAGUGACAUAAGAAAAUUUAAUAUGGAAUGUGUCUUUAGUUGAUACUCCUGGAUUCCUUGACACACUGAUGAAACCUGAUGAAGCAAGAAGUGUUUAUUUAUCCAGUCCUGGACCUCAUGCUUUUCUCAGUAUGAAAUGAGGAAAAAUUACUGGAGGAAGAAACAAGCAGUGGAGUUCAACCCAUUUCUUCAGUGUUCUGCAUCAUAUAUAGUUUAGAAGAACUAAUAAAGCAGGAGGAAAUAAAAAGAAACAUAAGAUUGAUGGAAUGAUGAAGACAGAUGAGAGAAGAGUAUAAUCAGUGAAGAAUAAAAGAGGAUUCAGUGAUUAAAUGAUGGGCUAAAAGUACUGCUACAUGCUUUGUCAAGCUGCCGGCUGAUAAAAUCAGCCUGAGAAACUCAUCAUCAUCACCUUCCUCACUGUUGUGAUCCAGCUGAAGAAUUUAGGAACAGUACAGUAUAAAACACCUGAACAACUGUACACAAACAUUUCCACAUCCAGCUGACGAGACGCUCUGGAUCAGAGACCGUAAGAAUUGUUCAGCAGUUCAACACAUCUAAACACAGUUCAUUGUUUCCGGCUACAUGAUGAUGAGGUUCACCGUAGUCAACCGGAUCCGGGCCGUAUCCAGGUGAGACCAAGGACCUGCACCUUGACACGACCACAACGCAGCCCUGAAGUAUCAGCAGAGAUUGAGUCAACUAGAUCAUCCCCUGUGAAGGCCUCAUCGACACGACAGCCACGACACAGUUCCUCAACAACCGUCCAUACCGGCUUGAUGAAUACGAUCCUCAAUUGGAUGGAACUGAAAUAAAUACUUUUAAUGUUGCGAUCCUAUUGGACUUAUGAUAGCAACCUGAAUUGUAACAAAGCACUGUUGGCCAGAGGAGAACUGGCACCCUGACUAAGCCUGGUUUCUCCCAAGGUUUUUUUCUCCAUUUUAACACCAAUUUGCCACUUGUCUGCCACCUGAUGUCACCUGAUGGAGUUUGGGUUCCUUGCCGCUGUCGCCUCUGGCUUGCUUAGUUGGGGACACUUGACUUGACAUUUUGAUAUUCAACAGUGCUUUGAUCUGCCUGCAUUGACACUAUUCUUUAAGAGCUGCUGUGCAGCCAAACAAUGUACCAGUUAUCAAUGUAAAGCUGCUUUGACACAAUCUACAUUGUAAAAAGCACUAUAUAAAUAAAGGUGACUUGACUUGA
This is an RNA transcript of Ctenopharyngodon idella (grass carp), 3975 nucleotides long. It is a transcript of the gene named GTPase IMAP family member 3-like, with no coding region annotated. The record is from RefSeq and is a predicted model, not a curated record. Lineage: Eukaryota; Metazoa; Chordata; Actinopteri; Cypriniformes; Xenocyprididae. The transcript has 7 exons.